This 373-nucleotide ribosomal RNA is filed under the name uncultured eukaryote. RNAcentral's name for it is "partial 18S ribosomal RNA". It matches the Rfam family "Eukaryotic small subunit ribosomal RNA", at positions 592 to 976 of the family's 1831-position model. The record is from RNAcentral.
CAAUAGCGUAUAUUAAAGUUGUUGCAGUUAAAAAGCUCGUAGUUGAAUUUUUGCUUGCCGCCGAUGUCGGAACUUCCGUACGUUCGGCGGCGUGCAUCCUUGGGUGGAACCUGUGUGGCAUUAAGUUGUCGGGUAGGGGAUGCCCAUCGUUUACUGUGAAAAAAUUAGAGUGUUCAAAGCAGACUUAUGUCGUUGAAUAUAUUAGCAUGGAAUAAUAAAAUAGGACCGCAGUGCUAUUUUGUUGGUUUGCGCACCGUGGUAAUGAUGAAUAGGGACAGUUGUGUGCAUUCGUAUUCACUUGUAAGAGGUGAAAUUCUUAGAUUAAGGGAAGACGAACUACUGCGAAAGCAUUUGCAAAGGAUGUUUNCAUUGA